CAGUCGCGCGGUAAUACAGAGGGUGCGAGCGUUAAUCGGAUUUACUGGGCGUAAAGCGUGCGUAGGCGGCUAAUUGAGUCGGAUGUGAAAUCCCCGAGCUUAACUUGGGAAUUGCAUUCGAUACUGGUUAGCUAGAGUGUGGGAGAGGAUGGUAGAAUUCCAGGUGUAGCGGUGAAAUGCGUAGAGAUCUGGAGGAAUACCGAUGGCGAAGGCAGCCAUCUGGCCUAACACUGACGCUGAGGUACGAAAGCAUGGGGAGCAAACAGGAUUAGAUACCCCAGUAGUCCCUGUCUCUUAUACC
RNAcentral lists this ribosomal RNA (301 nucleotides) under uncultured bacterium. Its description in RNAcentral is "partial 16S ribosomal RNA". It matches the Rfam family "Bacterial small subunit ribosomal RNA", at positions 509 to 808 of the family's 1533-position model. The record is from RNAcentral.